GGAGGGGUGCCGGAGUGGUUGAACGGAGCUGUCUUGAAAACAGCCCAGGCUGGCAACGGUCUGCGGGGGUUCGAAUCCCUCCCCCUCCGCCA
Molecule: transfer RNA, 92 nt
Filed under: Chloroflexota bacterium
Lineage: Bacteria; Bacillati; Chloroflexota
Description: Chloroflexi bacterium (freshwater metagenome) tRNA-Ser
Rfam family: tRNA
About the family: Transfer RNA (tRNA) molecules are approximately 80 nucleotides in length. Their secondary structure includes four short double-helical elements and three loops (D, anti-codon, and T loops). Further hydrogen bonds mediate the characteristic L-shaped molecular structure. tRNAs have two regions of fundamental functional importance: the anti-codon, which is responsible for specific mRNA codon recognition, and the 3' end, to which the tRNAs corresponding amino acid is attached (by aminoacyl-tRNA synthetases). tRNAs cope with the degeneracy of the genetic code in two manners: having more than one tRNA (with a specific anti-codon) for a particular amino acid; and 'wobble' base-pairing, i.e. permitting non-standard base-pairing at the 3rd anti-codon position.
Source: RNAcentral